CCCUACGGGGUGCAGGAACGGACCCCAAGGAAGGCACAGCACUGGGAAUCGCCAUACUGGAAUACCUGGGAGACAGGGGGGCGCGCACCGUCGUCACCACCCAUUACAGCGAGCUCAAAUACUUUGCAUCCACCGACAGCAGGGCCAGGAAUGCCUCAGUUGAAUUUGACAGCGAGACGCUCCAGCCUUCCUACAGAAUCGAAAUAGGCCUGCCGGGGAGCUCCUGCGCGCUCGCCAUCGCCGGCCGCCUGGGACUUCCCGCACCCAUCAGAGAAAGGGCAGACGAGCUCAUAAGCAAAGAGUUCGUAUCGCUCGACAAGCUCAUCGAACAGCUCAAAGGCAAGGAAAAUGAAUUGGCGGGAGAGC
RNAcentral lists this ribosomal RNA (366 nucleotides) under uncultured prokaryote. RNAcentral describes it as "partial 16S ribosomal RNA". The record is from RNAcentral.